RNAcentral lists this transfer RNA (71 nucleotides) under Salmonella enterica subsp. enterica serovar Bareilly. Its description in RNAcentral is "tRNA-Glu". It matches the Rfam family "tRNA". Rfam says of the family: Transfer RNA (tRNA) molecules are approximately 80 nucleotides in length. Their secondary structure includes four short double-helical elements and three loops (D, anti-codon, and T loops). RNAcentral also lists the same sequence under 1 other name. The record is from RNAcentral. Lineage: Bacteria; Pseudomonadati; Pseudomonadota; Gammaproteobacteria; Enterobacterales; Enterobacteriaceae.
UGGCUUUGUAGCUCAGGUAGGUAGAGCAGCCUCUUCGAGGAAGGUCGCCGGUUCGAGUCCGGUCAAAGCAA